UCCUGGUGGCUCAGAGGGUAAAGCGUCUGCCUGCAAUGCAAGAGACCUGGGUUCGAUCCCUGGGUCAGGAA
Molecule: transfer RNA, 71 nt
Filed under: Bos taurus (domestic cattle)
Lineage: Eukaryota; Metazoa; Chordata; Mammalia; Artiodactyla; Bovidae
Also listed under: 3 other names
Rfam family: tRNA
About the family: Transfer RNA (tRNA) molecules are approximately 80 nucleotides in length. Their secondary structure includes four short double-helical elements and three loops (D, anti-codon, and T loops). Further hydrogen bonds mediate the characteristic L-shaped molecular structure. tRNAs have two regions of fundamental functional importance: the anti-codon, which is responsible for specific mRNA codon recognition, and the 3' end, to which the tRNAs corresponding amino acid is attached (by aminoacyl-tRNA synthetases). tRNAs cope with the degeneracy of the genetic code in two manners: having more than one tRNA (with a specific anti-codon) for a particular amino acid; and 'wobble' base-pairing, i.e. permitting non-standard base-pairing at the 3rd anti-codon position.
Source: Rfam by way of RNAcentral